This 588-nucleotide ribosomal RNA is filed under the name Pelomonas sp. RDB-138. RNAcentral's name for it is "bacterial SSU rRNA". It matches the Rfam family "Bacterial small subunit ribosomal RNA", at positions 102 to 686 of the family's 1533-position model. Lineage: Bacteria; Pseudomonadati; Pseudomonadota; Betaproteobacteria; Burkholderiales; Sphaerotilaceae. The record is from RNAcentral. RNAcentral also lists the same sequence under 1 other name.
ACGGGUGAGUAAUAUAUCGGAACGUGCCCAGUCGUGGGGGAUAACUACUCGAAAGAGUAGCUAAUACCGCAUACGACCUGAGGGUGAAAGCGGGGGAUCGCAAGACCUCGCGCGAUUGGAGCGGCCGAUAUCAGAUUAGGUAGUUGGUGGGGUAAAAGCCCACCAAGCCAACGAUCUGUAGCUGGUCUGAGAGGACGACCAGCCACACUGGGACUGAGACACGGCCCAGACUCCUACGGGAGGCAGCAGUGGGGAAUUUUGGACAAUGGGCGCAAGCCUGAUCCAGCCAUGCCGCGUGCGGGAAGAAGGCCUUCGGGUUGUAAACCGCUUUUGUCAGGGAAGAAAAGGUUCUGGUUAAUACCUGGGACUCAUGACGGUACCUGAAGAAUAAGCACCGGCUAACUACGUGCCAGCAGCCGCGGUAAUACGUAGGGUGCAAGCGUUAAUCGGAAUUACUGGGCGUAAAGCGUGCGCAGGCGGUUAUGCAAGACAGAGGUGAAAUCCCCGGGCUCAACCUGGGAACUGCCUUUGUGACUGCAUAGCUAGAGUACGGUAGAGGGGGAUGGAAUUCCGCGUGUAGCAGUGAAA